RNAcentral lists this ribosomal RNA (207 nucleotides) under uncultured bacterium. RNAcentral's name for it is "partial 16S ribosomal RNA". It matches the Rfam family "Bacterial small subunit ribosomal RNA", at positions 568 to 774 of the family's 1533-position model. The record is from RNAcentral.
CUCGUAGGCGGUUCGUCGCGUCCGGUGUGAAAGUCCAUCGCUUAACGGUGGAUCUGCGCCGGGUACGGGCGGGCUUGAGUGCGGUAGGGGAGACUGGAAUUCCCGGUGUAACGGUGGAAUGUGUAGAUAUCGGGAAGAACACCGAUGGCGAAGGCAGGUCUCUGGGCCGUCACUGACGCUGAGGAGCGAAAGCGUGGGGAGCGAACA